GACAGAGGGUGCAAACGUUGUUCGGAAUUACUGGGCGUAAAGCGCGUGUAGGCUGCUCAGAAAGUUGGAUGUGAAAGCCCUGGGCUUAACCUAGGAAGUGCAUUCAAAACUACUGAGCUGGAGUCCUGGAGAGGAAGGCGGAAUUCUCGGUGUAGAGGUGAAAUUCGUAGAUAUCGAGAGGAACACCGGUGGCGAAGGCGGCCUUCUGGACAGUGACUGACGCUGAGACGCGAAAGCGUGGGGAGCAAACAGG
This 253-nucleotide ribosomal RNA is filed under the name uncultured bacterium. RNAcentral's name for it is "partial 16S ribosomal RNA". It matches the Rfam family "Bacterial small subunit ribosomal RNA", at positions 524 to 776 of the family's 1533-position model. The record is from RNAcentral.